Molecule: long non-coding RNA, 2429 nt
Filed under: Equus caballus (horse)
Lineage: Eukaryota; Metazoa; Chordata; Mammalia; Perissodactyla; Equidae
Description: lncRNA (ENSECAG00000038304.3)
Source: RNAcentral
UGCAAUGUGGAAAGAGAAUGAGUGGUUACAGAGCGCUCUCUGCUAGGCUCUUCCACAUGUUACCUCAUUCUUCUCUCUAUAACCCACUCAAGAGGUAGACAUUUACUCCUUUUCACAGAUGAAAAAUGGAGGCUCAGAGAGGCCAUACAACUUAACAUAGGUCACACAGCUAGUAAAUGCUACCUCUUCCAGACCUGUCUUCUCAGCUUGACUCUUCUACUUUACUUGGUGAUACACCAAUCUAUCUGGCAAUGUGGACACUUAGCAACCACACAAUUGAAAUGCACCAUGCUCUACACUUUUUCCAUAAGGGAGACUGUGAAGAAAUAGCUAAGAAGAUUAUAAGGAAAAGAGUAGUGUCAUUGAAACCAAGGGAGAAGAUUGUGUCAAAUGAUGCCAAGACGCCAAAUGAGAUGAUGAGUGAAAUGGGUUCCCUGGAUUUAGCAAGAAACAAGAAGGUCAUUGGUCACUUAGGAGAAAAUAGAUUCUGCUGAGUGACAGUGUUUCUUUGUAGCUACUCCCAUGAAGAGGCAGAAUCUAUUUCUUCAUCCUUUAAUCUGGGCUUGGUCAUGUGACUUGCUCUGACCAAUGAGAUAUUAGCAAAUGUGAUGCAAGAAGAAGCUUGAAAAGUCCUGUGCAGUGGGGCUUGCUACUCUUGGGAACCCUGUGACUGCCACCAGGAUGCUGAUAACAACCUUCUCAAUUAGGACUGAAGAAGUGUGUCUAACAUUCUGGAAAACACACCACCCAACCCCCCAAGGUGCCUGAGUUUAUGUAAAAAGAGAGAUUGUCUUCGCUGUCAAGGUUUCCUGCCUCUCACUUCACUCCCACAGCUAUGUGUGUGAAUAUUCAGAAGCAAGGUUGGAGCUGAUUUGGAGUGAUGACUCUAAAGAAGAGAUAAGUUGCGUGGUGAAAACAAACAAAAGGAGAAAUUAUUGAAGAAUCCUUUCCUCAAAAAACUCCAAGUAGGACUUGGGCUUGGUGAUCUGUUUAUAAAGCCUCUUCAGAUCUUCAUCUGGGAGCAUUUUAUGGAGCAGGUGGAUAUCCUACUGCUUGGAGCUGUGAGCUCGCUUUGGAGACCAUCUUCCCCUUGGAAUAUGGCAGAUGACUGAGAAAUGAGGUGAACCCUGAUAGUGUGGACCACAGAUAGCUUAACUCUUUGAAGAUAUGCCUAUUUUGACUCCACCUAUAAGAGAGCACUACUCUGCCUGCUAAGACAGAAUGGAACUCUGCUGAGAUGGAACAUGACAGCCACUCAUAACACCACACAUCCUUUUCCAAGCAGCUUGUUAUACAAAUGAAACAUUGUUCUCACAUGGCAAAUUUACAAAGGCAGAAGAUACGAUGAAUUUGGAUAGUGUGAUGGAUCAUAAAGAGACAGAGUCUUCUUCCCUUCCCCUUGAACUGAGUUGAUCCUGACAUAUUUUGGCAGUAGAAUAUGGUAGAAGUGAUGUUGUGUAACGACACUCCUUGGAACCCUGUGAGAAGCCCAAGUAAAAUGAAGAAGCCACGUGAAAGAGAACCCAGGUACUCCAGUCAACAGCCCCAGCUGAGCUUCCAGCAACAUGGUACCCACUCUGUGCUGAAUACAGUGCUAGUCACUUUGGAGGAAACACAAAGCAAAGAAGCACCACCUCCCCUCAAGAGACUUCCAAUCUCCCCAAGUGGUGCAGACAAGACAAAACAGAUGAAGCAAGAAGAAAUUAUAUCAUAUCCAUCAAAUUUUGCUCAAGUUGUAGAGUCUGGAGAGCAUAAAUUUAUCUUAACUUCAUUAAAAAACUCACAGGCAGAAUUACAGGGCACUGAGUUUAACCGGGGAAGACAUUGGAGUAACCUUUGUGCCUUGUAAAGACACAUUGAUUGGAGCCAACUCUACCCUUUGACUCAAUAAUCAAAAUCUUGGUAUUUGAUCAGAAUUCUGGAGGCCAGAAGUCUGAAACCAAGAUGUCGGCCCCCCCUUCAGAGGCUCUAGGGGUGGAAUCUAUUCCUAAAUUCUUCCAGUGUCAAGCAGCUGUCAGCAUUCCUCGGCUUGUGGCCACAUCUCUCUCUGCUCCAUCUUCACAUCACCUUCUCCGUUUCAGGCUGAAGCAUGAAUCAAUUUUAAAGUACUAAGUGGAAGUGAGCACUGAGGUUGUUGGAUGGGAUGAUAGUGUGGUAGAAAAGCGUGGUAAAAAUUGAGAAGAAGGAAAGUAAGUAUUCAUUCCAUAAUUAUUUCUUAAGUGCAUGCUACGUGCCAACCUUCCAAAUAGAAAUAGUGUCUUUGCAGAUAUAGUUAGUUAAGGAUCUCGAGAUGAAAUCAUCCUAGGUUUAAGAUGUCCUUAUAAGUAGGGAAAGAGACACAGAGAGACACAAAGAAGAAGGCCAUGAGAAGAUGGAGGCAGAGAUUAGAGUAAUGCUGCCACAAGGCAAGGAACACCAGGAACUACCGG